UACGAAGGGGGCUAGCGUUGCUCGGAAUCACUGGGCGUAAAGCGCACCUAGGCGGCUUCUUAAGUCAGGGGUGAAAUCCUGGAGCUCAACUCCAGAACUGCCUUUGAUACUGAGGAGCUCGAGUCCGGGAGAGGUGAGUGGAACUCCGAGUGUAGAGGUGAAAUUCGUAGAUAUUCGGAAGAACACCAGUGGCGAAGGCGACUCACUGGACAUGUACUGACGCUGAGGUGCGAAAGCGUGGGGAGCAAACAGG
Molecule: ribosomal RNA, 253 nt
Filed under: uncultured bacterium
Lineage: Bacteria
Description: partial 16S ribosomal RNA
Rfam family: Bacterial small subunit ribosomal RNA
Source: RNAcentral